GGUGUUUUUAAGCACGAGAUUUCGGGAUUGAUCCUUUCUGGAUCCGGCUAUUCUUUUUUCGAAUUUCGGGAUGGCGGGAUUUAAAUUUCUAUAAAUUCGGGACCUCAGGAUUUCAUGUUUUAAAGUCCGGGAUUUCGGGAUCAGGACCCCUGCCCCCCCCCCCCCCCCCCCCCCCCCCCCCCCUUCCUCUUACAAAUGCAUAUCACAAGAUGUCUUUUCCUUUUUAAUUUUCUUUUGGCCUUGUGUUGUUGUCUGGUUGCUGUCUUAUUGAAGUACUGACUACUUACGGGAUUUACAUUUUACUUUAGGUACUGAAAGUCUGUGACACUGCAUAUUUUUCAGUACAGUACAGUACAGUAGGUAUAUAGUAGUAGUAUGAUAUAGAGAUGAUCGAUAUAAUCUCGUUCUCAACCUUCAAGUUCUAUGAGUGAAAUAGAAUUGAGAACAGUUCUAUUUUAUAUUUGAGAUGCUACUUUCAG
Molecule: long non-coding RNA, 479 nt
Filed under: Mytilus galloprovincialis (Mediterranean mussel)
Lineage: Eukaryota; Metazoa; Mollusca; Bivalvia; Mytilida; Mytilidae
Source: RNAcentral